UACGUAGGGGGCAAGCGUUAUCCGGAUUUACUGGGUGUAAAGGGAGCGUAGACGGCUUUGCAAGCCAGAUGUGAAAGCCCGGGGCUCAACCCCGGGACUGCAUUUGGAACUGUGUAGCUGGAGUGUCGGAGAGGCAGGCGGAAUUCCUAGUGUAGCGGUGAAAUGCGUAGAUAUUAGGAGGAACACCAGUGGCGAAGGCGGCCUGCUGGACGAUGACUGACGUUGAGGCUCGAAAGCGUGGGGAGCAAACAGG
This 253-nucleotide ribosomal RNA is filed under the name uncultured bacterium. RNAcentral's name for it is "partial 16S ribosomal RNA". It matches the Rfam family "Bacterial small subunit ribosomal RNA", at positions 524 to 776 of the family's 1533-position model. The record is from RNAcentral.